AUUAGAUACCCGUGUAGUCCUAGCCGUAAACGAUACUCGCUAGGUGUCGGCCACGGUGCGACCGUGGUCGGUGCCGUAGGGAAGCCGUGAAGCGAGCCACCUGGGAAGUACGGCCGCAAGGCUGAAACUUAAAGGAAUUGGCGGGGGAGCACCACAACGGGUGGAGCUUGCGGUUUAAUUGGAUUCAACGCCGGAAAUCUUACCGGGACCGACAGCGAUAUGAAGGCCAGGCUGAAGACUUUGCCGGAUUAGCUGAGAGGUGGUGCAUGGC
This 271-nucleotide ribosomal RNA is filed under the name uncultured archaeon. Its description in RNAcentral is "partial 16S ribosomal RNA". It matches the Rfam family "Archaeal small subunit ribosomal RNA", at positions 728 to 998 of the family's 1478-position model. The record is from RNAcentral.